AUAACAAUUCCGGGCUCUAUGAGUAUGGUAAUUGGAAUGCGUACAAUCUAAAUCCCUUAACGAGGAACCAUUGGUGGGCAAGUCUGGUGCCAGCAGCCGCAGUAAUUCCAGCUCCAA
Molecule: ribosomal RNA, 117 nt
Filed under: Nicotiana attenuata
Lineage: Eukaryota; Viridiplantae; Streptophyta; Magnoliopsida; Solanales; Solanaceae
Description: rRNA SSU_rRNA_eukarya
Rfam family: Eukaryotic small subunit ribosomal RNA
Source: RNAcentral